Molecule: ribosomal RNA, 751 nt
Filed under: fungal sp.
Lineage: Eukaryota; Fungi
Description: eukaryotic LSU rRNA
Rfam family: Eukaryotic large subunit ribosomal RNA (bases 522-751)
Source: RNAcentral
GACCUGCGGAAGGAUCAUUACACUCAGUAGUUUACUACUGUUAAAGAGUCUGUUAGUCUGUAUAGCUUAAUCGCUGAUGAGCAGCUUGUCUCUUUUCUCCACCCUUGUCUUUUGCGUACCCAUGUUUCCUCGGCAGGCUUGCCUGCCGGUUGGACAAUUCUAUAACCUUUUUAAUAUUUAAUCAGCGUCUGAAAAACUUAAUAAUUACAACUUUCAACAACGGAUCUCUUGGUUCUGGCAUCGAUGAAGAACGCAGCGAAAUGCGAUAAGUAGUGUGAAUUGCAGAAUUCAGUGAAUCAUCGAAUCUUUGAACGCACAUUGCGCCCCUUGGUAUUCCAUGGGGCAUGCCUGUUCGAGCGUCAUUUGUACCUUCAAGCUUUGCUUGGUGUUGGGUGUUUGUCCUCUCCCUAGUGUUUGGACUCGCCUUAAAACAAUUGGCAGCCAGUGUUUUGGUAUUGAAGCGCAGCACAAGUCGCGAUUUAAUCCAACAACACUUGCGUCCACAAGUAUUUUUUAACUUUUGACCUCGGAUCAGGUAGGGAUACCCGCUGAACUUAAGCAUAUCAAUAAGCGGAGGAAAAGAAACCAACAGGGAUUGCCCUAGUAACGGCGAGUGAAGCGGCAACAGCUCAAAUUUGAAAUCUGGCUCUUUCAGAGUCCGAGUUGUAAUUUGCAGAGGGCGCUUUGGCGUUGGCAGCGGUCCAAGUUCUUUGGAACAGGACGUCACAGAGGGUGAGAAUCCCGUACGUGG